Molecule: ribosomal RNA, 274 nt
Filed under: uncultured bacterium
Lineage: Bacteria
Description: partial 16S ribosomal RNA
Rfam family: Bacterial small subunit ribosomal RNA
Source: RNAcentral
AUACGGAGGGUGCAAGCGUUAUCCGGAAUCAUUGGGUUUAAAGGGUCCGUAGGCGGACUAUUAAGUCAGAGGUGAAAUCCCACAGCUCAACUGUGGAACUGCCUUUGAUACUGGUAGUCUUGAGUUAUAUGGAAGUAGAUAGAAUGUGUAGUGUAGCGGUGAAAUGCAUAGAUAUUACACAGAAUACCGAUUGCGAAGGCAGUCUACUACGUAUAUACUGACGCUAAGGGACGAAAGCGUAGGGAGCGAACAGGAUUAGAUACCCUAGUAGUCC